AGCAGCCGCGGUAAUUCCAGCUCCAAUAGCGUAUAUUAAAGUUGUUGCAGUUAAAAAGCUCGUAGUUGAAUUUCGGGAUCAAUACGUCGGUCGUGCCUCGGUACGUACUGGCGUCAUUGAUUUCUCCCUUCUGAAGAACCGUGAUGCCAUUAACUUGGUGUCACGGGAAAUCAGGACUGUUACUUUGAAAAAAUUAGAGUGUUUAAAGCAGGCUCACGCUUGAAUACAUUAGCAUGGAAUAAUGGAAUAGGACGUUCGACCCUAUUUUGUUGGUUUCUAGGAUCAACGUAAUGAUUAAUAGGGAUAGUUGGGGGCAUUAGUAUCCAAUUGUCAGAGGUGAAAUUCUUGGAUUUAUUGAAGACUAACUACUGCGAAAGCAUUUGCCAAGGAUGUUUUCAUUAAUCAAGAACGAAAGUUAGGGGAUCGAAGACGAUCAGAUACCGUCGUAGUCUUAACCAUAAACUAUGCCGACUAGGGAUCGGAUGAUGUUAAUUUUUAAUGACUCAUUCGGCGCCUUAAC
RNAcentral lists this ribosomal RNA (520 nucleotides) under uncultured Glomus. RNAcentral's name for it is "SSU rRNA". It matches the Rfam family "Eukaryotic small subunit ribosomal RNA", at positions 569 to 1092 of the family's 1831-position model. The record is from RNAcentral. Lineage: Eukaryota; Fungi; Glomeromycota; Glomeromycetes; Glomerales; Glomeraceae.